RNAcentral lists this long non-coding RNA (3306 nucleotides) under Callithrix jacchus (white-tufted-ear marmoset). Its description in RNAcentral is "lncRNA (ENSCJAG00000079348.1)". Lineage: Eukaryota; Metazoa; Chordata; Mammalia; Primates; Cebidae. The record is from RNAcentral.
AUGGUAGGGAGCAUUCUCUCCCCAGAAAUAAGUCUGUACCCUCUGGGCACCUGUUGGACCAAGCCCACUUUAUACCCAUGCAAUCAAGAUAAAAUAGUGGCCUUUACGAUGAUUCAGAUUCGUUCUUAUUUCUCUCUUUCUUUUGUCCAACGGUCACCUAAUUCCAGAAUGUAGUUAUGGGAAAAACAUUUGUUUUUUGGACCCGUCUCUGUUCUCAUUCAUUGCAACCAUGCUCUGGCUUACUUUAUCUGUUUUAUAGUACUUCCCAGCCCUACUCCUGCUGUAUAUACAUUUUUGUUUACUAUUUUUAACAAACUUUAAAUUUUUAAUAGUUACAGACUUACUGAAAGUGGCAAAUAUAUUGGAAUUUCAAUAUAUCCCACACCCAGUUUUUCCUAUUAUUAAUAUCUUAUGUUCGUAUAGUACAUUUGUUACAACUAAUGAACCAAAAUUGAUAUCGUUAUCAACUACUCUGUGCUGUUUCUCAGAUUUCAUUUGUUUUUCUCUAUUUUUUUUUUUCUGAUACAGGAUCUUAUCUAGAUAGCACUUUGUAUUUAAUCCUCAUGUCUCCUUUGGCUUCUCUGGACUGUGACAGUUUUUCCUUGGACUUUCCUUGCUUUUGAUGACCUUGAGAGUUUUUUAAGAGUAAUGGUCAGAUAUUUUGCAGCCUGCUUCUCAAUUAAAAUUUGUCUGAUUAUUUUCUCAUGGCUAGACAGGGCUUUGGGGUUUUUGUGAGGAAGAUCGUAACAUAUCAUAUAAAAGGCACAUGCUAUCAACAUGAUUUACUAUUGAUGAUAUUAAUGUUGAUCACAUGUCUAAGAUAAUGUUUGCUAGGUUUCUCCACUGUAAACCUACCCUUGCCCCUGUCACACACUUUUCAUAAUUUACUCUGUGGAACUAAGUCACUAAUCCCACAUUAUUGGUAGAGAAGGGAGUAUCUACACAUGUUAUUUGGACUUCUUCCAUGUAGACUUGUACUCCUUGGUUGGUUGAUUAUAGUAUUGAAUUAUGGGUAUUUAUGCAUUAGAUUAUAACCCCGUGCUGUAUGUGAUGGCUAAUAUUGUCAACUUUAUUGGAUUGAAGGUAUGUCUGUGAUGGUGUUGCCAAAGGAGAUUAACAUUUGAGUCAGUGGACUGGGAAAGGCAGAGCCACCCUUAGUCUGGGUGGAUAUAAUCUAGUCAGCUGCCAGUGUGGCCAAAAUAAAAACAGGCAGAAGAACAUAAAAAGACUAGUUUGGCGUAACUUCCCAGCCUACAUCUUUCGCCCAUGCUGGAUGCUUCCUGCCCUCAAACAUCAGACUUCACAUUCUUCAGCUUUGGAAGUCGGACUGGAUUCCUUGCUCCUCAGCUUGCAGAUGGCUUAUUGUGGGGCCUCCCCUUGUGAUUGUGUUAGUCAAUACUCCUUAAUAAACUCUCCUUUAUAUAUACAUCUUCCUUAUUAGUUCUGUCCCUCUAGAGAACCCUGACUAAUACAAUAUGCUACUUAUUUUGUUGCUCAAACUGUUUCAUCUUUGGCUGUUGGGAGAACUUUCAAAACCCUUUUGACUUAACCCAAUCAUUUUAUUUUUUAAGCACUCAUUUUCGGGCAUCCAGCUGUUCCAGGCUCAUUCUGUAUGAUACUUGCUACUUUAGACUCAUCCAUUUUAAGGAUUUCUGUUUUUUUUUAAUUGAAGAAUGAGUUUAAAAAUUGAGUUCUGGGUUCUAGAUGUGCUCAUUGCUAUUAAAGUGUCUUUGGUUUAGGCCCUCUUUGUGAACAGAGCUAAGGCAUUUAUGUAUGUGUACUGACUCGUGCAUGAAGAAAUAUUUAUAAUUAUUUGUAUGUCUGUCCUUCAGUAUCUAUAUUAAACUAAGCAUGAGAUUAUACAGAUUUUUAUGACUCUAAUCCAGAACGACAUGAUUCCUUCUGCCUUUCUUAUCUAUAACUUCUCCAAGAAUAAAAACUUCACUCUCACUGUUCACCAUGAACUUACUUGUUGGUUCAAUUUCAAUAUACAUAUAUGGUAACUUCACAUCUUUUACUCUGGACCACCACCGAAAGCAACUUUCCCAACUAGAAUAAUGCUUAUGUACAUUUUCUUUUGUUUUUAGUCCUACAGUCCAUUCUAGUUUCCAAAGUUAUUUAGAGUAACAUCUCUUUUUAUCCAUAUCCUACAGUUGGUUAUGUCAGAUAUUUUUAAUACUGGUUCCUUUUUUUGAAGAAUGAGUUUAAAAAUCGAGUUCUGGGUUCUAGAUGUGCUCAUUGCUAUUAAGGUGUCUUUUUUAGAAAUUUUUAGAGUUUUUUUCUAAAAAGAAAAAACGUCACAUAUUAAGGUUUAAUAUUUGCACUGUAACAUUAUACCUGGUAGCCAUUCAUCUUUAUCUGUCACCAGUAAUUCUGACUUCCUCAUAUAUCUUCUUUUGACAUUUAUAGUCAGUAUUGUAAAUACUGUUGUUCUGUUUAUUAACAGAGAUUCCUUGGCAAGAUUUAAUAGCUUCUUCUAUUCCACUGACCCUUUCAAGCUCUUCUUUAUCUCUUCUGGGACACAGGCUGCUCUUCUCAGGGUGUGACCUUCUGUUUUAGUUUGUUAUCAAAUGAUUCAGCCUGAGGCAACACACUCAACCAUUGCUAUUCUGCUUCUCUGGUGAAACACUAGACUUGAGGGCAUUUGAAAAGAACCCUUAGUCUCUCCAGUUUACAGCAUGAGAGGUAAAGCAAAAGACAUCCUCUGUUGAAACUUACCUGUUGCCUUAGCCUAAGAAUAGUUUCUCUGCACUAUGUUGAGAACGUGAGGCUCUUUUCUUAUUAAGAAAGUUGGUAAAGGAUGUUGAUGAAUAUUUAUGAGAGAGGAAAAGGAGGAAAAGAAAAGUGUAUUGCAUAUGUUAUGUUCCUUCUCUAUCUGGACUCUAUUGUAUUCUAUUUAUAUAUGUCUUUAUUUUUGCAAUAAUAUCACAUUGUCUUUAUCACAUAGCUUUGUAGUAAUUCUAGAUAUCAGAUAGUAUAAAUCCUUUUACUUUGUUCUUCUUUUUCAACGUUGUUGUGGUCAUACAUUGUCCUUUGCAUUGUCAUAUAAGCUUUAGAAUCAAUUUGUCCAUUUCUAUAAAAACCUCUGAUGAAACUAGAUUUUGUAUUUCAUUGAAUGUACAAAUCAACUUUGAUAUAACUGAUCUUAAUGAUAUUGAAUCUUCUAAUCUUUGCUCAUAUUAUGUCUUUUCAUUUGUUUAGGUUUUCUUUAAUUUGUAUUUUUCAGUAUAGAUACACUGUACUUUUUCAGUCAAGUUUAUUUCUUUUAUUAUAUGUUUUCAUAUAAUAAAAAUAGAAAUAAAUCAA